Long non-coding RNA from Salvia splendens (bonfire salvia), 612 nucleotides. RefSeq lists it as uncharacterized. The transcript has 2 exons. Lineage: Eukaryota; Viridiplantae; Streptophyta; Magnoliopsida; Lamiales; Lamiaceae. The record is from RefSeq and is a predicted model, not a curated record.
UGUGAUCAUUGUGGUCGUUCGAAUCAUGAGUCUGAUAAGUGUUGGAAGAAGUUUGGCAAACCAGAUUGGGCUAAUAACAUUGAGUUUGCUGCGCCAAGUUCUUCAUCUACUACUACUGAUGCCUCUACCUCUGUAGCUGCGUUUUCUGUGUCUCCUGGACCUGCAGACGAAGAGGACGAUUGGUGGAGGACAUGAGCGUGGCGGUCUGUACUACUUGGAUAAUGUUUCACCUGUCUCUCCUAGUGCUCUCUCUGCUGCUGUGUCUCCAUAUCAGUGGCAUUGUCGUCUUGGUCAUCCGUCUUCUGCUAGUCUUCGUAGUUUAGUUCCAGUUGCGUCUGUUGAUUUUAAUUGUGAGUCAUGUGAGUUGGGCAAACACCAUCGCACUUCCUUUCCUUCUCGAGUCGAGACUCGUAGCUCUUCUAUUUUUGAUUUAGUUCAUUGUGAUGUUUGGGGUCCGAGUAGGAUUGAGUCCAGAGGGGGUUUCAAGUAUUUUCUAAUUCUUGUUGAUGAUUAUUCCCGUAUGUCAUGGUUGUAUUUGCUUAAACACAGAAGUGAAGUCCCUACUGUUCUAAAAUCUUUUUAUCAUGAAAUAAAGACCCAAUAUUCUGUUGA